This 253-nucleotide ribosomal RNA is filed under the name uncultured bacterium. RNAcentral's name for it is "partial 16S ribosomal RNA". It matches the Rfam family "Bacterial small subunit ribosomal RNA", at positions 524 to 776 of the family's 1533-position model. The record is from RNAcentral.
UACGAAGGGGGCUAGCGUUGCUCGGAAUGACUGGGCGUAAAGGGCGCGUAGGCGGAUGGCAUAGUCAGAUGUGAAAUUCCCGGGCUUAACCUGGGGACUGCAUUUGAUACGUGUCGUCUUGAGUUCGGAAGAGGGUCGUGGAAUUCCCAGUGUAGAGGUGAAAUUCGUAGAUAUUGGGAAGAACACCGGUGGCGAAGGCGACUGACUGGACAUGUAUUGACGCUGAGGUGCGAAAGCGUGGGGAGCAAACAGG